Molecule: long non-coding RNA, 2036 nt
Organism: Ostrea edulis (European flat oyster)
Lineage: Eukaryota; Metazoa; Mollusca; Bivalvia; Ostreida; Ostreidae
Exons: 3
Source: RefSeq, a predicted model, not a curated record
CCGAUAGCGCGUAAAAACAGGGCUACGCAAAAGGAGUGUCUAUAAAUCUUUGAAACUACGGACGUAAUAUAUAUGUUUUAUAUAUCAUAUUUUUGGAAAUUUUCUAUAUUUUUUAACUAUGUAAAAAUCAAUUGAGUAAAUAAAGCCAUAAAAUUAAAAAAAGCAUUUAAAAUGAAAGAUGACUUCGUCUAAAUAUGACGCAACGCUUUGUCGCAAGGCCAUUUCCCCCCUCGCUAUGAUUUUUUUUAUUUUCCUUAUGAAUGCAAUGUUUUUUUUAUAUUUUUGAAAAGCAUAUAUUCCCUGCUUUCAGUACAUAUAAAAAUUAUUUUUAAUGCCUGCCAACGUUAUAAGAAAAUAGCAAUUUUUUGCACAUGUACGUUUUUUUACGAUUUUAUUUCUCAAUGUUUAAACAGAUCGGCGUUUUAUCUAUAUUUAUAUAUGGAAAUAGGGAAAAGUAAAUACAGCCUGUAAAAGUAGAGGAAAUCUUCUUUUUGAUGGACCCUUAUUCAUAUUAUAAUUCUCGGUAGUUUUUAUAUUACGAUAAAAUGAAAUUGGGACAUGCUGCGCGGUUUUCUUAAAAAUUAGCGACAAAUCGACGUCGCUAACAGCAAUCGACGCGCGUCGCACAAUAAAGUGGUGAAAACUAUUUGUAUUGUCCUCUAUUAGUAAAUUCAGCACCUUUUGAUACACUAAAACAACAUACAUACAUGUAUGAAAUAAUCAGCCAGGUAUCUCUGCUUUUUAAAAAAAAGCAUAAAACCAAUAUUGGUAUAUAAACAGUUACUCAACCUACAUGUAACUUCAUAAAACACCUAUUGAGAAUGUUACAUCGGCAGAAUGAAUUUAAAAAAAGAUAAAUAAAGUACUUCAAAUUCAGAUAUAAACGUUAUAUUUGUUCGGAAUAGUAAUAAUUUUUUUCUCUGCCAAAGAAAGAAAACAAAAAAGAAGUUCACCUAUAUAUAGCCCGUAUACUUUUAUUUUUCCGUGAUCCGGAUCGCGGGCCUCGCGGGGUUUUCUGAAAGUGUGCACAGAGAACACACGUGUUUCCGUUUCAACGAAAACAACACAGCUUCACCGUGAUUGUCACAGCGAUCGCUUGUAUUUUACAUCUUUAAAACGACCUGAUGUCAGAAGAAGAAGAUGCCCUGGAUCUCCUGUUGCAGGAUGACCCAAACGAUCAUGCAUUUAGUAUAAAUACGUACAUGGUAUUGACAUCCCAAUAUUUAGUUAGGGAGGGUUGCCAUAUACUUCCCAAGGAAAUUUGCAGCCUCUCACUGAAGAGGAACUGUACAGAGGGCCUUGAUUAUCGGAAACAUUUACAGAGCCAAUUGAGUUACUUUUUUCCCCAGAUUUUUGUGCAUUAUCUUAUAUAUGCCUGCUGUGAAGUUCCAGUCGAUAGACAGAUAUUGGUCAACGCAUGCCCCUGUCGGAACAACUCAUUAUCAAGAAUUAUGUCUAGAAAUAGGUUUCAAGAGGUUGAAUAUAAGAACAUUUUUGUUAAAUAUGAUGCAAGUACAUUUAAAUCUAGUGAUUGAAAGUAAGUACUUGAACAUUUGUAUAUGUUGAACUUGGAGAGGAAAAAUGGUUAGUACUUUUUUAUAACAUUUGAUAAGAUGUUGUUGCUGAGCAACCAAAUAUAAUUGAAUAAAAAAAUAAAUUAUUUUAGAUUAACAGUAAUUGAAAGGUCUUUGUUUUAAUGUUGCAAUACUUAUUCUAUUUAAUGGAACAUAAUGGCAAAACGUCAUAUUAUUAGAAAAUGAUGGACAAGUAUAUAAAGUACGAAGUUUCCAUUUGAUGUCCUUUGACCUUAAUUCUCUGCAUCAUAUUUUUUGCUAAAAACCUUUUAAAAUGAUUAAGAUCUAUUUAAAGAUUAUAUUUUUAAAAUAAUGGGACAUUUACUAAUCAUCAUGGAAUGUAAUUACGUUUAAAUUGUGUCGAAUGGAUGCAGAAAGGCAAAUUAUGGUCAAAAUUGUACUAUGAGUGUUGUUACUUAGCAACCAAAAUUAUUUGUUUGUCAAUAAAAUUGAUUAGUUUGA